AUCUUUAUCAUGUAUACAUAUGAGGUAAAAGCAAAGGUCAAAAUCUAGAACGUAAAUUUUGCCAAUGACCUUGAGCUCAAUUUCAAGGUCAUCAACCAAGGACCUCAAAUCAAAAGACUUUAGUCCUCUACUUUAUAUUGUUUAUGAGUUAUAUUACCAUACAUAUGAUAUUAGAUAUAAAAAGGGGGAAAACUCACGUCAAAUGUCUACGUACCCUUUCGACUAAAAUUUAUGUGUUACUACAUGUCGUAACUAACAAUUUUAUGAAAAUAUUUUGUCAAUAUCUUAUAUGAUUUCUGAAAAUAAGAGAUAACAAGCCAAAAUCAAAAUUUUGAUCAUGACCUUGACCUUUGACCUUGACCUCAUUUUCAAUUUUUUGGACCAAGGACCUCAAAACAAAAGACCCUAGGCCUCUAACACUUAUGGUUUUCCAGUUAAAAAUGCAUAUCACUUAUAUCAAAUAUAAAAGGGGAAAUAACUCUCAUAUGGAGUCUUCGGAAAGCUUCGGUCAAAAUAAAUCAAAUCAUCCUGAGGAUAUAACGAGCAAUUUGGUAAAAUAAAUUUGUCGGUUUCUUAUACGGUUGCGAAUAUUAAGCGAUCACAAGAAAAACAGUGUUCGGGGAGAUAACUCUUACAUUGAAAAGAUUUUGGUUACGCGGUGUCAGUUUCAAAAGCGUAUUAAUUGCUCGAUAUCAUAUACCAUAUAUCUAAGCGACAUCUUGCGAAACAAAAAAAUUGCGAAGGAACAAAAAGUUGGCGGAAGAAAAAAAAUAAUAAAUAUAAAUCAAUUGCUUUUAAAAAGCAAUUGUAAACGGUCUUUCCCCCUUUGAAACAUAGAUUGAUUGGGAGGGGUGUUUUGUUUGUUUGUUUGUUUGUUUGUUUGUUUGUUUCUGUAAGGGGUCUAUAGUAUUGUGUUACCGGAGAAGUUUCAUGUUUAGUUUGGAAAGUUUUUCUUUUAUUUUAGGUCCAGCGCGCGCGCCAGAUUGAGGAGACAUCACGUGACGCGGGUAUAUAAUAACGAAAACUUAGUCUUUUUUAUUCUUUUUAGGUGGGGACGUUAAACAGACAACAUCUAUAGAGAUGGAAUGUACACAAUGUAAUUUCUUUUGUCAUUGUAGGAAAUUGACAUUUUGAUCACAGUUCACCAGCAGUGCAUGUUUUGGAUUUAAUUGAUUCGCUGUAACUUUAAAACACAUUUAAGGAUUAUUUUCUGAUAAUGUACAUUUUUCAGCACCAGUUUGUAACACAGAUAAGUAUUUCAAUCUAGGAGCGGACAUUUUAUUGUAGCAUUUCACUGAGAUUUACGGACCUAGCAAGCAAUUUUUACGGCAUUGCAAUUUUUUUUCUCUAGGAAAAGUCUUGAGAGAUAUCGGCACCACGUUGUUUUAUGAACCUUUAGUACAUGUAUGCCCUGCUGACUGCAAAGUUUGGGGUCGAUUGGACUUGUAGUUUCAGAGUUUAACUGAUAACAAACAUGUGGAUUUUUUUUUCAGAAGAGAUGUAAGAUCAAUAUUAAAAACCAAUUGUUCAGAGAACCAUUGAUGGUCUUUCCACCAGUUAAGACCUUUUUUUAUAUGAAAAUAUUAAAAUUUGAUUUUAAAUGUCAAUUGUACCGUCAAAUGACAACUUAUUGAACGUUUAUUCCAAAAAUGUAUGGUUUCUAUGGAAAAAGAUAUAGAUAUGGGAGAUAAUUGUUUACUUCCGGUUCAAAC
This 1712-nucleotide long non-coding RNA is filed under the name Mytilus galloprovincialis (Mediterranean mussel). Lineage: Eukaryota; Metazoa; Mollusca; Bivalvia; Mytilida; Mytilidae. The record is from RNAcentral.